AUAGAAUGCCAAACAAAGUUUAGUACAAUGAAAAGUUAAAGAAAAUUAGGAGACUACAGGGAGGACAAACUAUCCUGCUAAGCGUAAAACAUCUUGGUAUGCUCGGCGAUGAACCGGACACAAAAACAACUUCGAUGUACCUCGGUCGAACAGACGCUGUGCGAAAAGGCUGGUUGCUUGAAUGCUGGGCUCUUGAUGCCGGACGGGACGGCCGUAUCGGCGGCUGUUGACAUCGACAAUUCUUCCGACUCCGAAUGGGGCAGCUGGAUCGGCCCAUGUAUUUGGCAGCUUCCACCAAACGGUCCCGUACCUGACAAAC
This is a long non-coding RNA of Anopheles stephensi (Asian malaria mosquito), 319 nucleotides long. RefSeq lists it as uncharacterized. The record is from RefSeq and is a predicted model, not a curated record. NCBI's taxonomy places the organism in Eukaryota, Metazoa, Arthropoda, Insecta, Diptera, Culicidae. The transcript has 2 exons.